This 504-nucleotide ribosomal RNA is filed under the name Penicillium sp. N33. RNAcentral describes it as "SSU rRNA". It matches the Rfam family "Eukaryotic small subunit ribosomal RNA", at positions 64 to 571 of the family's 1831-position model. The record is from RNAcentral. Lineage: Eukaryota; Fungi; Ascomycota; Eurotiomycetes; Eurotiales; Aspergillaceae.
UAUAAGCACUUGUACUGUGAAACUGCGAAUGGCUCAUUAAAUCAGUUAUCGUUUAUUUGAUAGUACCUUACUACAUGGAUACCUGUGGUAAUUCUAGAGCUAAUACAUGCUAAAAACCCCGACUUCAGGAAGGGGUGUAUUUAUUAGAUAAAAAACCAACGCCCUUCGGGGCUCCUUGGUGAAUCAUAAUAACUUAACGAAUCGCAUGGCCUUGCGCCGGCGAUGGUUCAUUCAAAUUUCUGCCCUAUCAACUUUCGAUGGUAGGAUAGUGGCCUACCAUGGUGGCAACGGGUAACGGGGAAUUAGGGUUCGAUUCCGGAGAGGGAGCCUGAGAAACGGCUACCACAUCCAAGGAAGGCAGCAGGCGCGCAAAUUACCCAAUCCCGAUACGGGGAGGUAGUGACAAUAAAUACUGAUACGGGGCUCUUUUGGGUCUCGUAAUUGGAAUGAGAACAAUUUAAAUCCCUUAACGAGGAACAAUUGGAGGGCAAGUCUGGUGCCAAG